Molecule: ribosomal RNA, 434 nt
Filed under: uncultured bacterium
Lineage: Bacteria
Description: bacterial SSU rRNA
Rfam family: Bacterial small subunit ribosomal RNA
Source: RNAcentral
UGCCAUUGGAGCAGCCCGCGUUGGAUUACGCUAGUCGGUGGGGUAAGGCCACCAAGGCGACGAUCCAUAGCUGGUCUUGAGAGGAUGAUCAGCCACAUCUGGGACUUGAGACAGGUCCCAGACUCAAUACGGGAGGCAGCAGUAGGGCAAUCUUGCGCAAUGGGCGAAAGCCUGACGCAGCCAUGCCGCGUGAAUGAUGAAGGUCUUAGGAUUGUACAAUUCUUUCACCGGGGAAGAUAAUGACGGUACCCGGAGAAUAAGCCCCGGCUAACUCCGUGCCAGCAGCCGCGGUAAUACGGCAGGGGGCUAGCGUUGUUCGGAAUUACUGGGCGUAAAGCGCACGUAAGGCGGCUUUGUAAGUUAGAGGUGAAAGCCCGGGGCUCAACUCCGGAAUUGCUUUAAAACUGCAUCGUUAGAAUUGUGGGAGAGGUGAU